Mya arenaria is the source of this 2932-nucleotide long non-coding RNA. RefSeq lists it as uncharacterized. The transcript is spliced from 5 exons. The record is from RefSeq and is a predicted model, not a curated record. NCBI's taxonomy places the organism in Eukaryota, Metazoa, Mollusca, Bivalvia, Myida, Myidae.
AGUGCAUCAGAAGGGACAGUACACACCAUCUUUCAUUCCCACCAUUCUUUGUGAAGAGGAAUCCAAAUGUUCUUUGGCCUGAUCGAGUUCUUAUGGGUGCCUUGAGCCAUCCUAGGAGGCAUCCCAAGUAACAACAUUAAGAACGUAUAAAUGUUUGAACUGUGCAGACUUCUUGUUGUGAGAAAAAAAGCCUGCAGCCAAUGAGAUAGAAAUGGAGAGAAGGGCAAUAGCAGCUUGCACACGUCAAGGAUCUGCAGCGCAUGAAACCCCUUAAACUGAAGAUGAUGAUACAGACUCAGUUAAAACAGAUAUGGGUGCAAGUCAUGACACUUUUACAGAUUAAAGAUGUCCGAGAUUCACGAUGAAUGCUGUUUGAAGAAGAAUGAACAGAAUCACAUUUUAAUUUAAUCUCACUGCCAAUGUGGACUUAAAGAGGACGGGCUCUGUUAUGACAACUGUAUUUUUAAGUAACAGAGAUAAGGGUGUUAUUGGAAUCAUUUCAAUAAAAUAUGGGAGUACCGGUACAUACCAGUUUGAUAUCUUGAUUAGACUGGGACUUAAACUUAAACAAAAACGAUAGAUAUUGGACCUCUCUAAUACACAUUAUAAACAUCUCAUGUCUUAAGUCAAUAACAAAGCUGUAAUAAGGCGAUAUUUAGUGUAAUUAACACUUAGGGCUAUUCUCCUAAAACAUAUAACCACCGGGUUUGGCAGAUUUUUAAUAAUAUAUGGUUGGGCUUUUUUGCUAAUUUGCACCCCAAAAGGCACAUUUGCUUUUGUAUGGGGUUGGCAUAAAAACUUAAUAAAUGCCUUCCCUCCAGUGGUUAUAUUUUUAAAUGGACAAAAUAUCAAACUGGUAUGUACCUUAUCAACAUUUUUAGCUGGACUAUUUGAAUAAUAAGGAGGGUUAUACCACUCGCCUCAGCAUCUGCUUUGGCUUUAGCGUCCGGUUAAAGUUUAAGACCAAGUUGGGAUUUUCACUCAUAACUGCAAAACCCUUCAUUAAAGUCACUUAAUACUCCAUACAGUUGUUCAGGGUCAUUACAUAAUGAGGUUAAUACUUCAAUAGCCUUCAUUCAAUGGACUUAAUACCUUGCACAAUUAAUGAUGAACAUCUUACAAUAAGGUGACAUAACUCCAUUUUAACUAAAUACAAAUUAUUGCCCUUUUUUCAUUUUUAUUUCUUAUGUCAGGCACAUUUAUAUAUUCUUAACAGGGUUUUUGAAAGCUAAUUGUUUGGGCGGGCUGGUGGAAGGGUCUUCAAAGUCACCUUAUGUGUAAAAUAAUUUUAGCUAGGUUUGACAUAUAGUGACCAAACUUCGUAUGUAGGAAGCCUUUAUGAAGACCUUUCAUGAGAUUGCGUUUUAGGCUUCUGGGAUCAAUAUAAAGGUCAAAGUUACUAUUAAAAGCAAAAGAACUGGUAUUGAUUAACUUAAAGGUCGACAUAUUGUGACCAAACUUGGUUUAUAUGAAAGUUCAUACAGACUUUUUAUGCCCCCGAAGGUGGGCAUAUUAAAAUUGCACCGUCCGUCCGUCCGGCUCUGUAACUUUCCCUUGUAUGGACAGAUUUUAAAAUAACUUGCCAAAUGUGUUCCACAUACCAAGACGACGUGUGGCGUGCAAGACCCGUGUCCCUACCUCAAAGGUCAAGGUCACACUUAGUGUUUAUUCACAAUGGAGUGCUGCAUAUAAGGACAUAGAGUAUAGGUUGUCGUGUCCGGGCUGUAACUUUCUCUUGUAUGGACAGAUUUUAAAAUAACUUGCCACAUGUGUACCACAUACCAAGACGACGUGUCGCGUGCAAAACCCGUGUCCCUACCUCAAAGGACAAGGUCACACUUAGUGUUUAUUCACCAUAGAGUGCUGCAUAUAAGCAUAGAGUAUAGGUUGUCGUGUCCGGGCUGUAACUUUCCCUUGUAAAGACAGAUUUUAAAAUAACUUGCUACAUGUGUUCCACAUACGAAGACGACGUGUCCUGUGCAAGACCCAUGUCCCUACCUCUAAGGUGAAAGAUACACUAAGUGUUUAUUCACAAGGGAAUUCUGAAUAUAAGGACAUAACAGUGUAGGUUGUCAAGUAUGGGUGGUAUUUUUUUAUGUUCAGAGGAAAUUUAAAAUAACUUGCCAUAUGUAUUUGACACAUAAAGGCAAGAUCAACUUUUCAUGUACUGGCCUUGUUCGUAGGUCAAUGUCACAUUCGGGGGCAUUCGUCACAUACUGUGACAGCUCUUGUUUAUUGUGUUUUGGGUUAUGAUCUAGGUCAAAGUCAGUAUUGCUGAAAAGUACAAUUAUAGUUUGUACUGAAUAAGUAAGGGGUGACAAUGUGUGACCAAACUUGGUAUAUAUGACAAGUUAAUGGAGAGCUUUCAUUCGAAUGCCUUGGGCCCCUUAGGGUCAAUGUCACUGUUACUAAAAAAAUAUUACUUUUUGGUACUGAAUACCAUAAGUUAUGGUUGAUAUACUGUGACCAAACUUGAUAUAUAGGAAGAGUUUAUUGAGAACUUUCAUGAGAUUGUGUUUUGGGCGCAUAGGAUCUAGGUCACUGUUAUAAAAAUAGAAGACAGCAGUUGAAACUGAACUUCUUCUGCCAAUCCUUAACAAAACAAUUAUUGUCACAUCACGAUUCUUGUUUACUUUUUAAAUUGAUUUUUCUAUUGCUUUUGACAAGCACAUAUUACAUCAUAAUGUAAGAAGAUACAUUGUUAAAAAAAAAACAGAAAAUGUUAAUUUGAAUAAGAGUGUCACUUCUUUUAAAUUUGUAGCUGUUUACUUACCAUGAAUUUAUCUUUAAAUACAACUUGUACUUUUUAUGUGUAGGGUACGAGUUGGACCAUAUUGAGAGAUUGUUUUAAAUAGCAUAUGCUAAAACAUACUGUGACUGUUGUUGCUGCCUUUUAAUUUUAUGAAAAGUAUUGCUUUAUUAUUUUUUUAAA